Triticum aestivum (bread wheat) is the source of this 117-nucleotide non-coding RNA. The record is from Rfam. NCBI's taxonomy places the organism in Eukaryota, Viridiplantae, Streptophyta, Magnoliopsida, Poales, Poaceae.
GUAGUACUCCUCCGUCCCAAAAUUCGUGUCUUACAUUUGUUCCGGUGCCAAAUUAACUAGAUACAUCCAUAUUUAGACAAAUUUAAGACAAGAAUUUUGGGACGGAGGGAGUACAAA